RNAcentral lists this long non-coding RNA (563 nucleotides) under Medicago truncatula (barrel medic). Its description in RNAcentral is "lncRNA gene42533". Lineage: Eukaryota; Viridiplantae; Streptophyta; Magnoliopsida; Fabales; Fabaceae. The record is from RNAcentral.
UUUUGUUUAGUGUUUUAUUUGUUAAUUUAAAAGAAAUUAAUUUUAAGUAUAUAUUGGUUGGUUAUACCAAAUAUUUUGUGGCACUUGACUUGUGUGGUUGUAGUUGUGACUUUGAUUUGAACCAACGUAGAAAGGGGGGAAUGAAUGAGGAAAGCAAGGUAAUGUGCAACUUGCCAUCUCCCCACCAAACUGUUUUGUGUGUGGGGACCAUGAAAGAGCUUAUUCACGGGACCAAGUUAGGGACACAUGCCACUGUUGUCCUUCUCUGCCUACACUUACAACUAUGAUGCGUUUCAUUGGUCAGCAAUUCACGUGCUAGGGUUAAUAAGGUGCCAUAUAGUAGGCAGGCAUAUAGUAUUCAAUUCUUUGCUUAAAUAUGUUCUUUCUCUCCUAAAAUAUACACUCUCCAUAGGGGGCAGCUCAUUGUAGAUAUCCCGUAACACCCAAGACCGACGAGGAUGGGGAGUGGUCGCCGGUGCACAAGGCACGACAAUGAGCGGCUCCCGACAGCUUCUAGAGGAAUCGAAUCACGCCGGAAUGAGAGGGAUCCUAAGGCCUUGUAG